UAAGGAAUAUUGGUCAAUGGACGCAAGUCUGAACCAGCCAUGCCGCGUGAAGGAUGAAGGUCCUCUGGAUUGUAAACUUCUUUUAUCUGACGAAAACGGGAUUUUUAUCUCAAUUGACGGUACCAGAGGAAUAAGCACCGGCUAACUCCGUGCCAGCAGCCGCGGUCAUACGGAGGGUGCGAGCGUUAUCCGGAUUUACUAGGUUUAACGGGUGCGUAGGUGGGCUUAUAAGUCAGUGGUGAAAUCCCCGAGCUUAACUUGGAAACUGCCGUUGAUACUAUAGGUCUUGAAUUAUCUGGAGGUAAGCGGAAUAUGUCAUGUAGCGGUGAAAUGCUUAGAUAUGACAUAGAACACCAAUUGCGAAGGCAGCUUACUACAUAUAAAUUGACGCUGAGGCACGAAAGCGUGGGGAUCAAACA
Molecule: ribosomal RNA, 419 nt
Filed under: uncultured bacterium
Lineage: Bacteria
Description: bacterial SSU rRNA
Rfam family: Bacterial small subunit ribosomal RNA
Source: RNAcentral